AUUGAACGCUGGCGGAAUGCUUUACACAUGCAAGUCGAACGGCAGCACGGGGCAACCUGGUGGCGAGUGGCGAACGGGUGAGUAAUACAUCGGAACGUGCCCAAUCGUGGGGGAUAACGUAGCGAAAGCUACGCUAAUACCGCAUACGAUCUACGGAUGAAAGCGGGGGAUCGCAAGACCUCGCGCGAAUGGAGCGGCCGAUGGCAGAUUAGGUAGUUGGUGGGGUAAAGGCUCACCAAGCCUGCGAUCUGUAGCUGGUCUGAGAGGACGACCAGCCACACUGGAACUGAGACACGGUCCAGACUCCUACGGGAGGCAGCAGUGGGGAAUUUUGGACAAUGGGCGCAAGCCUGAUCCAGCCAUUCCGCGUGCAGGAUGAAGGCCCUCGGGUUGUAAACUGCUUUUGUACGGAACGAAAAGGCUUUCUCUAAUACAGGAGCUCAUGACGGUACCGUAAGAAUAAGCACCGGCUAACUACGUGCCAGCAGCCG
RNAcentral lists this ribosomal RNA (491 nucleotides) under uncultured bacterium. Its description in RNAcentral is "bacterial SSU rRNA". It matches the Rfam family "Bacterial small subunit ribosomal RNA", at positions 30 to 517 of the family's 1533-position model. The record is from RNAcentral.